RNAcentral lists this ribosomal RNA (423 nucleotides) under uncultured Desulfobulbus sp. RNAcentral describes it as "bacterial SSU rRNA". It matches the Rfam family "Bacterial small subunit ribosomal RNA", at positions 958 to 1382 of the family's 1533-position model. Lineage: Bacteria; Pseudomonadati; Thermodesulfobacteriota; Desulfobulbia; Desulfobulbales; Desulfobulbaceae. The record is from RNAcentral.
AACGCGAAGAACCUUACCAGGCCUUGACAUGCAGAGAACUUUCCAGAGAUGGAUUGGUGCCUUCGGGAACUCUGACACAGGUGCUGCAUGGCUGUCGUCAGCUCGUGUCGUGAGAUGUUGGGUUAAGUCCGUAACGAGCGCAACCCUUGUCCUUAGUUACCAGCAGUUCGGCUGGGCACUCUAAAGGGACUGCCGGUGUUAAACCGGAGGAAGGUGGGGAUGACGUCAAGUCCUCAUGGCCUUUAUGACCAGGGCUACACACGUACUACAAUGGCCGAUACAAAGGGCAGCGACACUGCGAGGUGAAGCCAAUCCCGUAAAAUCGGUCUCAGUCCGGAUUGGAGUCUGCAACUCGACUCCAUGAAGUUGGAAUCGCUAGUAAUCGUGGAUCAGCAUGCCACGGUGAAUACGUUCCCGGGCCUU